UUUUUUUGGAUCGAUUCGAUAAUCCAAUAAAAAAUUAUCAUAAAAAAGAAUAAGCUAAACAUACCCGGGUAGGUGGUUAUAGAAAUGAAGGUUAAAAGAAUCUCUUAGAAGCUCCGAUCGGGCUGAAUGCAAGAAACGUCGCGGCUGCGCGAUAAAUGUUGCAUGCAUGUGUACUACAUUUUAUGAACCUCCCUCGCUUUCUUUCGGAUUGCAAUGAGUCCAGACACAGUUAGAAAUGCGUUUAACAUAUUUUCUUUUAUUUCUCACAUUUAUUUUCAUAAGCACAUUCUCUUGUACAUACACACCCUCCCCUCUCCCCUUGGUAUUUGUCAAAGUGGUUUUUUCUCUUUGAAAAACCAAAAAAACACGCACACAUGGUGAUCCCGCUUGAAAGUGCGAAACGGCAAAGAAAAAAAACAUACGCAAACCCAAGGUUAUUAGACUCUAUACAGGUUAUGACAAAAGCCUGUUUUGGCCGAUUUCUAAUAAAAAAAUGAAUGAAAAAAUUUUGACAGACAAAUUGGAAUGGUUUGUUUACAAUUGGACUGGUUUGUUUACAAUUCGACUGAUUGCAACUGGAUUGCAAUCGUGCAAUAGUACGAUGUUUUAGGUUGAAUUGUUCAAUUAUUGUAAAUCUAAUUUUAAUUAUGUACUUUCUACUGGACUUAUGUAGAAAGUGGAGAAGGGAUUCCGCUAUGAAUAUUCGUGUGUUAUCGUAUUAAGACCCAACAUGUACGAGUUGAAAAAUCGUUACGUCGGAAAACGAUCUCAGGACAUUAACUUAAGUUUGCUGCAAAAUCAUGUGUGUAUAAGCAAUAAGGGAGAGCCGAUAAAGAAGCGGAUGAAGUAGCCAGAUAGUGAGCAUAUGCUGGACGGAAAAUGUAUGCAGCGGCUGGACAUAAAAAAAAAUCAUAUCGAACGACACGUUUCUAACCGUAGAUUAACAUCAAACCAGUCUCUAACAGCACGUGAAUUUCAUCACACGAGAUUCUUUCCGUCCAAGAACAGUCCUGUGAUCUAGUGAUGGGCGUUUCGGAGCGCACCAACGGCUCCGGACUAACGGGUCCGGAGCCAGCUACGCUCCGACGGCUCCGUAGCCGGCUCCGCUCCAAGGGCUCCGCAACCGGUUCCGGACUAACAGCUCUGCACUCACGGCUCCAUUCCAACAACUGCGGAGCCGGCUGCGAGUCCACUGUUCCAGAGCCGUCGACGAAUCAACGGCUCCGAACUAACGGUUCAAUAGAGACAGCAUUGCAUGCUAGCCUAAUCAAAAAACGAAUAUAUCUUCUCGUGGAAGCUAACACACGAUGUGAUUGCAGUAUUGACAUUUAUGACGUCAUAAUAUUUUUCAUGUUUGAUAGAGGCAGAUAAACCCUAUCCACAUUAUUUCACUUUUCAUACAAAUUAUAUGAUAAAGAGAAGGAGAAA
Anopheles merus is the source of this 1428-nucleotide long non-coding RNA. RefSeq lists it as uncharacterized. NCBI's taxonomy places the organism in Eukaryota, Metazoa, Arthropoda, Insecta, Diptera, Culicidae. The record is from RefSeq and is a predicted model, not a curated record. The transcript is spliced from 2 exons.